GUGGACGCAUCACUGGUGUUCGGGUUGUCAUGCCAAUGGCAUUGCCCGGUAGCUAAAUGCGGAAAAGAUAAGCGCUGAAAGCAUCUAAGCGCGAAACUUGCCUCAAGAUGAGUCUUCCCUGGGGCUUUAAGCCCCCUGAAGGAACGUUAAAGACUAUGACGUUGAUAGGCUGGGUGUGUAAGUGCAGCGAUGCAUUGAGCUAACCAGUACUAAUGAUCCGUGAGGCUUAACCUUACAACACCGAAGGUGUUUUAG
Molecule: ribosomal RNA, 255 nt
Filed under: Yersinia entomophaga
Lineage: Bacteria; Pseudomonadati; Pseudomonadota; Gammaproteobacteria; Enterobacterales; Yersiniaceae
Description: partial 23S ribosomal RNA
Rfam family: Bacterial large subunit ribosomal RNA
Source: RNAcentral